Molecule: long non-coding RNA, 2742 nt
Organism: Lepisosteus oculatus (spotted gar)
Lineage: Eukaryota; Metazoa; Chordata; Actinopteri; Semionotiformes; Lepisosteidae
Source: RefSeq, a predicted model, not a curated record
GUAACAACACGUUUCCGAAGUCCUGAGUCAAACCUUCCGACAAGCCCUAGGCGGCGUGCAGUGAGCGAACAGAAAGAGGAAAAGCAUUUGAUCUUGUUUCAAGAGGCGACACAGGCGAGGAGAUACAGCGCCUUGCAGCACUGAUGCUUUGCACGAGAAUGUAAACACUGUGAAUGCAUGCAUACUGGACAUCCGUGGCGAGGUGUCGGAGCGCUUGGCGAGAUCGGCGCUGUCGCCCGUGCCAGCGAGAAGGUCCCACGGGCGGGCGGGUCUGCUGUCGUGAGUGUGAGGACACGCCUGGCCCGUGGGAGGCGCCGUGACGCUGCGCGCAGCCCGUGACUCGGGAGCCGGCCGGCCCGGAGACUGGAGCGCAGCUCGACCUGCACGGAUCGGUCGUGCGCCGCGGGUCUCGGUACUCAGGCGCGGCGAGCCGGCGGCCCCAGUCUGAUGCUCCGGCCCCCCGGGGGGGCAGGCCCGGUCGAUGGUGUCUCCCACCAUGAAGGCCGUGGUGGAUGCGGUCUGGGCCGUGUGGAGCAUCGGCGCCUCCAUAUACGACUACCUGCACACCAGCGCCAUGGAGGAGCGGAUCCACGCGCUGGAGAGCGCCGUCACCGUGCACCAGUGCGUCAUCAUGGCGCUGUCCGCCAGCCUGGUCCUGCUCGUCACCUACAUCCUGCUGAGGAAGCGCUGAGCCCGCUGGGUCGCCGGGCUGGCCGGGGGCCCCGCGCUCUGUGGCGCGCGCCGGCGAGGCGAUCGGUCUCCCGCUGGCCGAGAAGCCGCUGGGUGAAGCACUGUGGGAGAGACACUGACCCCAGACUCCCUGGGGGCAGCAGGACUCGCCAGGACAGCGCAGUGUCCGCCGGGCGUUAGCAGUCUGUCUCCGGGUCGGCGGGCCUUGAUCCCGGGCUGGGCAGAAGCGCGGCUUAUCCGCAGCAGGGGUCAGAGGUCAACAACAGGGAGGCGUCUGUCCCCUGGGCAGUGAGAGCACUCGGAGAGAUUUUUAAGCCUUGCCACAGAAACAGUUCCCCCCCCAGCCGAUCGACUCGGGCCCAGCACAGGGAUGGUUAAUGCUGUUCCAAAGACGGGGUCCCGGCACCCCAGCAGACCCCCAGUCUGCACACAGCCUACGUGCGCCAGCGCCCAGCCCACAUGGAGUGUCGUGAACUGAAACGGAGAAGUGACCUUACUCACCGUCAGUGUCCACUGGCAUCUGAUUUCUGGAUUCUCUUUACUGUGUCAGACGCUCAGAAAAAGUUACACUUUUGUGCCAUUUUGGUUUUCUUGAUAGUAUCGUUUUGAACUUUCACUGCUCAGAAGCACCGGAGUAAUUUUACUUAAAACAGUACUGGUGUUGGUGAAGUAGGAGAUUAGGCUACUGCGUUAUCUCAUAACUAUAUUAACUUUUAUGGGUAAAGGUCAUCACACUGUAUUUUUUUAACAUCCUGUAAUAUAAGACAUUUUUUAUCAUUGAUAGGAUUUUAUAUUACUGUGCUGUACUGGUGUGUUGAGUUGCCUUUAGCCUUGAGUUUUUAGAAAGUGCAGAAGGUGGUGAAUUGUGUGCAGUUGGGUUAAGCUGUAGCACGUCUCUGACAGUAGCUUCGAUGCGGCGUCUUGGGAGAGAACAGGACUUGAUUCAGAUCCGUCCUCAUUUCUAACUGCAUUGGAAAUGUGUUUUUACAUGUUCCCUUAAAAAAGAAGAUUCAUACUUGAACAUCGGUAAAUACUGGAUUUAAGUCCAAAGAUAUACUGUAGGUAGCCAUGGUCAAAUUUGCAAAGGGAGUUAUUUAUAUGAUCAAGCCUGAAGAGUAUGAACGGCCCUCCCUUCUGUUCGUCUGGGAACUGUGGUCCUGCGGUUGAGGAGCUGGUCAGGAGGUCCUUCCCUCUAGUGCAGCCCAGCACUGGUGCAGGGGCAAUUAGUUCCAGCCUGGCAGAUCAUCCCAGAGUGCUCAAUCGACACUCCCGUCAGGAGCGACGUGGGUGACUGAGGAGGAGCUGGGGUUGGGUGAAGCUGCAGGGAGUGAGGGGCUGUGGUUCGGUCCCGUGAGGGGCCCACUGGGUGAAGCUGCAGCUCUGUCUGGCUGUGGUCUGGGUGCUGAUGGGGUGCUGCCUCAGUGGAGGAAGCAGGCAAACCCCCCUGCCUGCUGCUUACCCUCCCCUUCGCUACAUGGGUUGUGUCCCACUAGUGCAGCUCUCAGACAGAUGAGAUUUCAGAUGGAUUUUUAUAACAAACUUAAAAUAAGCAACUUGUAGUUGGCUGGGACUGAUUGCGAGUCUCAUUGUGUAAAUUAUUCGUUAGUUCGGGCGGGGGGAAUGUGUCCCAGCCGCCCCGGCGGGUGUGAGCGAGGGGUGGGAGGUGGGGAGUCGCCCACUGUGAGGACAGCCCUCCGUGCGCGGAGGCUCAGACGCCCCAAGCCCCCGCGAUGACUUCCUGCCCGGGGUGUCUCCAUGGCGGGGGGCAGGCUGGCUGGGAGGCAGCUCAGUGGGGGUCGGGCUGCCCCUUGUGCAACUGCGCUGGGGGAGGAGCGACUGGGGAGCUCCUGUGACCUGUCACCCUCGGAACCCGUGUCCGACUGGUAGCUGUAGACUCCCUGCCUGGGGCUGCUUGCGAGACAUGGCUGCGGAUGGACAGCAGGUCACAGGGCAGGUUUCUGGCACCCUGGACACAGCACAGUGAACUGUAAGACAGCAGGGAUGAAAAAAGGGAAAACAAAUCCCCAAUAAAAAUAAAAACUUUCAUCUUUU